CCGAUUGUAUUCUCGCACCUGUUCUCGCCGUCGCUAUUCGGAGGCGCGCUGCUUCACGGGAGUGCGCAUUAUACGCGACCUCCCCAUUACGACGAGAGAAGUGAAAUUCAAAAUGGAGAACGGCAGCUUGUUUUCCAUUUUCAUGCCGACAACGCUCGACGGAGCCGCCGCCUCGGGAGAGCGAAAGGGAACUAGACGCGCAUCAGCUUCGAACGACGAAAAGAGACAGCGGUGUGAACGUAGACAUGGCCGACGCGGGCUGCACAGCCGCAGUGGUUACCCCGGCGAUGUGCUACGGGCCGUUCAGUUCCAGCCACCUGUUUACCUGAUGACGCCUCUCCAGAAUGGCCUUCCUCGGUGUGCCCAUUGACGCAUGGUUCCUCCCGGAUCCAUUCCUGCGACAACUUUCCGUCUUCGCCUUUUUCACCUCAUGCGAAGCCACUUCGCCCAUGCUGGAAGCUUUCCAGCGCGCCCUCUCGGGCCAAUUCAAUCACGGGUUGCCUAGAGCCAUAUCCGGAUGAAACCAUCUUUUUGUGCUGGAAACAUGGGCGUGGCUUUGCCUCACCUGGAACUGCCACAGCAGGACAAAAGCGCCAGUCGGCAACGAUCCACUUGGGGCUCGAUACCACAGCAACGAUGCCGAACUUACCACCGCUGUUGCUACAGAUCAUGGGAAAAAACACACACCACCCCCACCACGGUUUGGAGCAGUUUUUCCAGGAUGACAUGUCUUGCCACUGAACGCGUUUUCAGUACAGGAUACCUUUUGACCAAAUUGACGCACAAAAUAAAAUAAGAAC
Molecule: long non-coding RNA, 800 nt
Organism: Dermacentor silvarum
Lineage: Eukaryota; Metazoa; Arthropoda; Arachnida; Ixodida; Ixodidae
Exons: 3
Source: RefSeq, a predicted model, not a curated record